CCAUAUUGGGUGAUAGCCCCGUACACGAAAAUCUCUUAUCAAUGAAAUCGAGUAGGACGGAGCACGAGAAACUUUGUCUGAAUAUGGGGGGACCAUCCUCCAAGGCUAAAUACUACUGACUGACCGAUAGUGAACUAGUACCGUGAGGGAAAGGCGAAAAGAACCCCGGGAGGGGAGUGAAAUAGAUCCUGAAACCGUAUGCGUACAAGCGGUGGGAGCCUACUUUGUUAGGUGACUGCGUACCUUUUGUAUAAUGGGUCAGCGACUU
Molecule: ribosomal RNA, 268 nt
Filed under: Aplanochytrium stocchinoi
Lineage: Eukaryota; Bigyra; Thraustochytrida; Thraustochytriidae
Description: partial Bacterial large subunit ribosomal RNA
Rfam family: Bacterial large subunit ribosomal RNA
Source: RNAcentral